AAUGGCAUCCAAGUCAUUCAAAUAUGAUCGGCUAUGAAUUUUGGCUCCAUCUUUUCUUUCUCCCAUGGGUCAUCUUAUCCCCUUAUAAAUAGACCACAGACCUACUCUAACAGCAACAAAAGUUCCUGUCUUCUCUGCUUCAAAGUUCAAGCUCUUCUUUGAAGCCUCUUCUGGUUUGUACUAUCUGAUAUCAUCAUGACAAGUUAUAGCUCUUUAAUUCUACUUACAGUUUUCACAAUCAUUUUGGGUACACUCCAUCCCUGUACUUGCAGGCAUAUCAGCUGGGCUACUCAUCAAGAAACAGAUCAAACAUUAAACACAAAGCCCUCUUUUCCAUUUCCUCGGCAUCUGUCUGCUAUUUCUCACUCUGUGCAAUCCAGAGAUGACAAGGCCAGCACAGUAUAUGGUGUAUCGCAUAAACUUGUUCCAGGCGGACCAAAUCCACUUCACAAUUAAUGGAAUUUUCCAUUAUCCAGCUUGUUUCCGGGAAGAACUCACAGGUUUCUCUUGUAGCUUGGGG
This 520-nucleotide unclassified non-coding RNA is filed under the name Hevea brasiliensis (rubber tree). Lineage: Eukaryota; Viridiplantae; Streptophyta; Magnoliopsida; Malpighiales; Euphorbiaceae. The record is from RNAcentral.